This is a long non-coding RNA of Hypanus sabinus (Atlantic stingray), 2578 nucleotides long. RefSeq lists it as uncharacterized. Lineage: Eukaryota; Metazoa; Chordata; Chondrichthyes; Myliobatiformes; Dasyatidae. The transcript is spliced from 4 exons. The record is from RefSeq and is a predicted model, not a curated record.
AGUGAAGAGCUGCCGGACGAUGUAUCACUAAGAACAGUGCCCUCGCUGUGAUCACAGGACUGGAUAAAAGUCAUGGAACUGUCCAACUCCAGAGCGUUUUCGCAAAUGUCCACCAGUCACCAAUUCACAGACCAUCAAAAUUCCAGAAUAGCAGAGUGUUUGGACCUGUGUAUAUCAAUUUGAUAACUCCAGUCCUGAUGAAGGGUCCCUGCCUGAAACAUUGAAUCGUGGCUAUUUUCCAUUGAUGCUGCCUGGUCUGCUGAGUUCCUCCAGCAUUUUGCAUGUGUUGCGGUAUUGAUUGCCAAUUUACAACAAUAUGCACAGCAACUGGUUGAGAAACUGGAAUAUGGCAAGUGGUAUUUCACAUUUCUAGUAGCAGAAAGAGUACAACUGUGAAAGAAGUUAAACUAUGGAAUCAACACCAUGUUGUGCACUUUGUUCCCUGAUCCAUGUAACACUAAGGAGGCUGAAGUUGUUCUGAUGCUACUGCAAUCACAGAUAACUUCAUCUGGACACGAUCAGGAAUCCCCUCUUCAGUUGUGACCAGUGCAAUUCAUCAAGACAACAGUGCUAUGGGAGUAUCAACUGGAUCUAGGAGGAAUGGCUCUUAAAAUAUUCUUUACAUUUAAAAAUGACGCAUUCCUUGCUAAUUCCAUUUGCAACACGGGAUAGACAUUACAAGUUUAGUUGAAUUUAAUUACUUUUAUUGGGAUGGAUGUCACAUCAAGACUUUCUUCAUUUAAAUAAAUGUCCCUCAUGAAUACAGUUAGAAGCCAAAUCUUGCUGAAUUUAAGAACACUACAUUGACAGCUAAAGCAAAUUUUGUAUAUCGUCUAAUGGGAAGUAUUUGGCACCACUUUUGACAUUCAUCAUGGGCUUGGGCUAGCAGUUUCAGUAGCAGUGCUGAUGUCUCCAGCAGUUUAAAUUUCAGCAGAUUUGCAUAGUAAGUUCAACAUGACUGAAGAUUUGAUGAGUUGAAUAAGCAAUCGCAAUUGGGAGAAUGGGGAAUGGCAAAUGACAAACCUACCGGAGGGUCUUUAAAGUCACUUGGUCCUAACAACUAAAUUGUUUUUCAGAGCCAGGUGGUGAAUGGUCAGUAUGGCAUCAAGUAUAGCAUUAAUCUAUUCUUGGAACACUUGUGGGAAGAUGACACCUGGGAACUGAAUAAAAUAAAUGUUGUCCAAUCAGUGACCACUCCUUUUUAUUUCUAACCCUUUUAUUUCUCAGAUGAUGGGUACUGUAACAUAAUUACUGAAGUUUGUGUUUUUAACUACAAAAUUUCUUAAGCAUUCUCUAGUAGAAUUUCAGUACUUAAAUCCAGAAUGUAUUUUAUAAGAUAUGGAUAUGAGCUUUUUUGCAUUAGUUAUCAGUAAAUAAAGAUUUAUUAAUAGUUCUGAAUGCUAGUAGCAAGUGUGGGUUUGGGGAACUCCACCACUCGAUUAUGCUUGACGAAUACUUGAAUAUGCUGGUUGAGGGAGAGCUACUAUAAGAAAUAUAAUUAGCUUUCUGUUGCCCCACAGAUAUCCAAAUGGAAUCUUAUUCCUGGCCAGUGCUGCUGAUUGGGGAUGCAACAAUUGGUCAUUCAAUUGUAACUGCUGGCCACAAAAGUCAAAGGAAAAAUAUCUGUAAUUUUAUAAAGUUCAAACAUCCAGAGGCUUUGGUUGUCAUGGUAAAAGCACAAGCUUUGAAAGGGCAUGGGAUUUUUCUGUAGCUGAAAAUAUUUACAAGCUAGAAGCACUCUGCUAAUCAGAUGUUAUUAGAGGGGAGAGGAGUGGUUAACCUCGAGCUGGAGUGAUGUAAAUGUCAAGUACAUAGAGCACAGGAGCAAAAAUCCAAGUAGAAAGUGUUUGGCCAAAACUCCCCAGGGUUUAUCAAAUUUCUCUUUAAAUUCUUGCUAAUGGUUUUAUUCCAGCAGCACUUAUUGAGCUAGUACUUGUGUUCUGUGAAAACUUGAGAGCUGAAAAGUAUGAUCUAAGCAGCAUUUGCUUGGCUGUAAAAUAACUUCUGAUUCUCUGGACGUUGUUUUAACACCUGGCCACAGCAUUUCAUGUGGAUUUUCAUACUUGAAUAUUUAACUUUAGAGGUCUCACUUUCAUUAGCCUUAACAAUUAAAUUCCAUUUGUCACAAUCUUUUGCUAAUUUUGUAUCUAGAUAUUGAAGUCUGAUAAUAGCAGCUGAUAAUAACUCUCUAUUACUAAACUGCAUUAUUGCUCAACCUCAGACCAUUUUCUACAAACUGAAAUUGAUAUUCUUUAGGACUUCAGUAUGUUCUGAAAUUCUGUAAUUAAUGUACCUAGGGUGGCCUUCAAGAUUUAUUGUGUCCCACAGAGUUGUAUUGGAUUUGGAACAGACUAAUCAAUUUUAUUUGUAUGUCCCUUUUCCCUAUCCUGGGGAAAGCUGCCAAAUUUCUGAAUUGUUAGCAAUAUAAUUGAUUUUUUUCCAGUGCUCAUUUACAUCUAUCUGCCUUGUGAUUUUUGCCACCAGUGCAAUGUUCUUUAAUGAUGUUCACAAUCCAAUUACUCAUGCAUGCUAUUCCACUAGAAGUACGGUUGUAAAUCAUGUUGAAUAAAGUUCUGUA